Molecule: non-coding RNA, 135 nt
Organism: Triticum aestivum (bread wheat)
Lineage: Eukaryota; Viridiplantae; Streptophyta; Magnoliopsida; Poales; Poaceae
Source: Rfam
AAUGUACUCACUCCGUCCCAAAAUUCUUGUCUUAGAUUUGUCUAGAUACGGAUGUAUCAAGUCACAUUUUAGUAUUAGAUACAUCCAUAUCUAUACAAAUCUAAGACAAGAAAUUUGGGAUAGAGGGAGUAGUUG